AUUGAACGCUGGCGGCAGGCCUAACACAUGCAAGUCGAGCGGAUGAAGGGAGCUUGCUCCUGGAUUCAGCGGCGGACGGGUGAGUAAUGCCUAGGAAUCUGCCUGGUAGGGGGGGAUAACGUCCGGAAACGGGCGCUAAUACCGCAUACGUCCUGAGGGAGAAAGUGGGGGAUCUUCGGACCUCACGCUAUCAGAUGAACCUAGGUCGGAUUAGCUAGUUGGUGGGGUAAAGGCCUACCAAGGCGACGAUCCGUAACUGGUCUGAGAGGAUGAUCAGUCACACUGGAACUGAGACACGGUCCAGACUCCUACGGGAGGCAGCAGUGGGGAAUAUUGGACAAUGGGCGAAAGCCUGAUCCAGCCAUGCCGCGUGUGUGAAGAAGGUCUUCGGAUUGUAAAGCACUUUAAGUUGGGAGGAAGGGCAGUAAGUUAAUACCUUGCUGUUUUGACGUUACCAACAGAAUAAGCACCGGCUAACUUCGUG
This 484-nucleotide ribosomal RNA is filed under the name uncultured bacterium. RNAcentral's name for it is "partial 16S ribosomal RNA". It matches the Rfam family "Bacterial small subunit ribosomal RNA", at positions 30 to 507 of the family's 1533-position model. The record is from RNAcentral.